CUAGCUGGUCUGAGAGGAUGACCAGCCACACUGGAACUGAGACACGGUCCAGACUCCUACGGGAGGCAGCAGUGGGGAAUAUUGCACAAUGGGCGCAAGCCUGAUGCAGCCAUGCCGCGUGUAUGAAGAAGGCCUUCGGGUUGUAAAGUACUUUCAGCGGGGAGGAAGGGAGUAAAGUUAAUACCUUUGCUCAUUGACGUUACCCGCAGAAGAAGCACCGGCUAACUCCGUGCCAGCAGCCGCGGUAAUACGGAGGGUGCAAGCGUUAAUCGGAAUUACUGGGCGUAAAGCGCACGCAGGCGGUUUGUUAAGUCAGAUGUGAAAUCCCCGGGCUCAACCUGGGAACUGCAUCUGAUACUGGCAAGCUUGAGUCUCGUAGAGGGGGGUAGAAUUCCAGGUGUAGCGGUGAAAUGCGUAGAGAUCUGGAGGAAUACCGGUGGCGAAGGCGGCCCCCUGGACGAAGACUGACGCUCAGGUGCGAAAGCGUGGGGAGCAAACAGGAUUAGAUACCCU
RNAcentral lists this ribosomal RNA (513 nucleotides) under Escherichia coli. RNAcentral describes it as "bacterial SSU rRNA". It matches the Rfam family "Bacterial small subunit ribosomal RNA", at positions 283 to 788 of the family's 1533-position model. Lineage: Bacteria; Pseudomonadati; Pseudomonadota; Gammaproteobacteria; Enterobacterales; Enterobacteriaceae. The record is from RNAcentral.